RNAcentral lists this ribosomal RNA (819 nucleotides) under uncultured Serratia sp. RNAcentral's name for it is "bacterial SSU rRNA". It matches the Rfam family "Bacterial small subunit ribosomal RNA", at positions 1 to 805 of the family's 1533-position model. Lineage: Bacteria; Pseudomonadati; Pseudomonadota; Gammaproteobacteria; Enterobacterales; Yersiniaceae. The record is from RNAcentral.
GGAAUUCGAUUAGAGUUUGAUCCUGGCUCAGAUUGAACGCUGGCGGCAGGCUUAACACAUGCAAGUCGAGCGGUAGCACAAGAGAGCUUGCUCUCUGGGUGACGAGCGGCGGACGGGUGAGUAAUGUCUGGGAAACUGCCUGAUGGAGGGGGAUAACUACUGGAAACGGUAGCUAAUACCGCAUAACGUCGCAAGACCAAAGAGGGGGACCUUCGGGCCUCUUGCCAUCAGAUGUGCCCAGAUGGGAUUAGCUAGUAGGUGGGGUAAUGGCUCACCUAGGCGACGAUCUUUAGGGGGCCUGAGAGGGUGAUCCCCCACACUGGUACUGAGACACGGACCAGACUCCUACGGGAGGCAGCAGUGGGGAAUAUUGCACAAUGGGCGCAAGCCUGAUGCAGCCAUGCCGCGUGUGUGAAGAAGGCCUUCGGGUUGUAAAGCACUUUCAGCGAGGAGGAAGGUGGUGGGCUUAAUACGCUCAUCGAUUGACGUUACUCGCAGAAGAAGCACCGGCUAACUCCGUGCCAGCAGCCGCGGUAAUACGGAGGGUGCAAGCGUUAAUCGGAAUUACUGGGCGUAAAGCGCACGCAGGCGGUUUGUUAAGUCAGAUGUGAAAUCCCCGGGCUCAACCUGGGAACUGCAUUUGAAACUGGCAAGCUAGAGUCUCGUAGAGGGGGGUAGAAUUCCAGGUGUAGCGGUGAAAUGCGUAGAGAUCUGGAGGAAUACCGGUGGCGAAGGCGGCCCCCUGGACGAAGACUGACGCUCAGGUGCGAAAGCGUGNGGAGCAAACAGGAUUAGAUACCCUGGUAGUCCACGCUGUAA